GCACUCUGCAACUCGAGUGCAUGAAGGUGGAAUCGCUAGUAAUCGCGGAUCAGCAUGCCGCGGUGAAUACGUUCCCGGGCCUUGUACACACCGCCCGUCACACCAUGGGAUUUGGUUCGGCCUUAAGCAGGUGCGCGAACCCGCAAGGGACGCAGCCUACCACGGCCGGGUCAGAGACUGGGGUGAAGUCGUAACAAGGUAGCCGUAGGGGAACCUGCGGCUGGAUCACCUCCUUUCAAGG
Molecule: ribosomal RNA, 241 nt
Filed under: Sphingomonas sp.
Lineage: Bacteria; Pseudomonadati; Pseudomonadota; Alphaproteobacteria; Sphingomonadales; Sphingomonadaceae
Description: partial 16S ribosomal RNA
Rfam family: Bacterial small subunit ribosomal RNA
Source: RNAcentral